UACGUAGGGUGCAAGCGUUGUCCGGAAUUAUUGGGCGUAAAGAGCUCGUAGGCGGUUUGUCGCGUCGAAUGUGAAAACCCCGGGGCUCAACCCCGGGCCUGCAUUCGAUACGGGCAGACUAGAGUUCGGUAGGGGAGGUCUGGAAUUCCUGGUGUAGCGGUGAAAUGCGCAGAUAUCAGGAGGAACACCGGUGGCGAAGGCGGUUCUCUGGGCCGAUAUUGACGCUGAGGAGCGAAAGACGUGGGGAGCGAACAGGA
Molecule: ribosomal RNA, 257 nt
Filed under: uncultured bacterium
Lineage: Bacteria
Description: partial 16S ribosomal RNA
Rfam family: Bacterial small subunit ribosomal RNA
Source: RNAcentral